GCAGAAAUGAGUGACCAAGCAGAAAAAAGCAGUUCCGUGCGAGAGAGACCUGCACGUCCAAGUUCUCCUGAGAAACCAAGUGAGAUGGAACUGAAGCAGAUGAAACGGGUGGAGCGGCAGUUAAAACGGUUGUCAUUUCAAAAUCCUGGGCCUCAGGUAGCCGACUUUAACCCUAAAUUAAGGCAGCUGAUAAAGGAAGGGCAAAUGGCAAGGAAGAAUGAGUUUGUUCCUGUAAAACGCGAAGUCAACAAGUAUGACCAAAAGGGCAGGCUCACCUUCAAUCAGGCUGACCUGUGUGACUGCCUUGAUGAAGACUGCCAGGGUUGCUUCUACCCGUGCCCCAAGUGUAACUCCACCAAGUGCGGGCCCACUUGCCGCUGCAACCGCCGCUGGGUCUACCACACCAUAGUCGACGAGAGUGGGGAGGUCAUCAGCAAGAUGCCAUUCGACCUCUCCGACUAGGAGCAGCCCUCCAGGCUGAUCCAGUUUCUCUGCUUUGCAGUUACACCAGCCUCUGUCUCCUGGGUGAAUUUUAGGACUGGGGGAAAAAAGUUUUAAAAAUAUAGUUUAGACUAGUUAGUGUUCUCUGAAGCCAUAGAACCAAGUCCUUCUCUAACCUUCCUGCUGUGAUGACUCAGAUUCCUCCCCUGGUAACCAGCAACUCCAUUCCUACUCUGCUCUCGGGUUAAAAAUCCCUUUCCUCUUUGCUGGUACCUUAGGAGAUGGAGUUUUAGAAUUCUGUAGCUGAGAGCUUGUCUUGACAAAGAACAUAUGUUUAUAAUAGUUACCGUUAGGAUCUUACACAUCAUCAAUUCUAAAUCAGAAUUCUAUUUGGAUUGACUUGGCACGGCAUACUCAUAGUCUCGUGUUUUUAGUGUUACUGUUUUAACAAUAUUAAAAUGAAAUUUGUUUUUUUUUUUUUUUUAAAAAAACUUUAAUAGGCCCCAUGGCCACAUGGCCCAACAUAUGAGCACAAAAGCAGAGAUUCAGUUUAAGUGAUAUCUAAAAUGCCCACUGGAAGCACACUUGCAAGGACAAAUUUUAAUCUAUUGUUACAUAGAAAUGAUUUAAAAGCAUUUUUUUGGUGGCUAAGGUUACCAGCCACACAGAACUGGCCAAUGUGGUACAAAAUUCCUAAGGCCUAAGUUGCAUUUUGUCUUGGAUGUAUAGGAUUUAAGGAAAUUCAGCUAGAGUUUCUGCUGACCUCAGUGAAGAUACCAUCUCAGAAGACUGAUUUGAAACAUCUGGGCCAGGUUUGGCAGCUAUUGUGCAAAACUGUUUUUAGGAAAAAUCUCUAUGAAACUGUUCACACCCACAGCGUCAUCAGGAAAGUUUCUCUUCAGUCAUCUUUGAUACCAAGUUUUAUUCAAAUGAUCUGUUAGAAGAAAAUUGCUUUUUCCACUUUUCCAUGUUUACUUCUCAUGAACAUUUAAUUGCUUCUUCUGAAGCUUUGGAUUCAGCACAAAGAGACUUUCCACUGAACACAGUUUUGCAGGCACUGGCUGAGGCUGCAGACGUAAUGGGCUAAAAAUAGACAAAGGCCCCUAUCUCUAUCCCACCAAAUGGCCAUGUAUGUUUACCCACUAGAAAAUAUUCACCUGAGACCACUUUUGCCUCUGACUAACUCACCCAAAAUCUCUGUGUGGCAAAUUUAUUAAUAAAAAGCAUUUAAUUUUC
This is an RNA transcript of Capra hircus (goat), 1677 nucleotides long. It is a transcript of the gene named ARL14 effector protein-like pseudogene, with no coding region annotated. The transcript has a single exon. NCBI's taxonomy places the organism in Eukaryota, Metazoa, Chordata, Mammalia, Artiodactyla, Bovidae. The record is from RefSeq and is a predicted model, not a curated record.